Molecule: long non-coding RNA, 2563 nt
Filed under: Pomacea canaliculata
Lineage: Eukaryota; Metazoa; Mollusca; Gastropoda; Architaenioglossa; Ampullariidae
Description: uncharacterized LOC112555078, transcript variant X3
Source: RNAcentral
UUGUGUUAUAUGGCUGCUCUCAGUGUGUUACCAUGGAAGUAGAGAUUUCAAGGAUACACUUGUGCACACAAGCUUAAAGACGCUGAAGACAAACACUUGGAGGCUGUCAGCUUUUCACAACGUUGCUCAUCACAGAGCCUUAUCUAAAAAUCCGUAUACUUCUAGCUUUGUCUUUUUCUUCUUUAGUAACUAACUACAAGGGAAGCUAGGCCUAUUGAUGCCUCAAUACUUCCUGCUGUGUUAGGAAUACCCAUUGCCUUGUUUUCUGAUUGGUCAAGUACACUUCCGACCGUCUUGCGGAAGCGUCUUACCUGGCUUUACCUGACCUUACCUGGCUUGGGAAUUCCCCUCGGUUCAAAACUAGACAAGCGGUCGGGAAAAACCCAAGUACACGUUAUCAUACAAGCGAAAAGCCGUGGGCUUUUCCCAUCUACGUAAUGUACGGCCAGGUAUAAGUUAUAUUCUACAUACACAGAAGUAAGAGAACACACCUGUCAUUUCAGCAUCGUGCGCUCAGUCGACAGGACCAAUAUUUUGGGAGACAUCUCAUACCUUACUUACUCACAGAACCUUAAAGAUGAAAGAAGGUCGAAUCUAGAAACAGAAAUCCAACAGACUUGAUGUAAGAAACAAAAGCAAAAGAAAGAGGUCAAGUAAAUGAAGACAACUCGUAGAAGGACAAAGCAUGGAGGAAGGAUAUCAAAAGGAGGAGAUGCUAACAGAUUACUGUGCUGCAACAUGUAGUAUCAACUUCUGUGUCUCUCUUACUGCUGAACUGUUCAAACCUAGUGUGGACAGGUUCAUUUGUGACAUUUGGUGAAUUGGUCACAGUGGUGAUGUGAGACCAAACCUCAUAUGACGACAUGCCGCCAGACGAUGGGGUGACGAUGGCCUAGCUGUGGUGAGCUAUCCCAGGCAGUAUGGUAUGAGGCAAUUGGACGGAAUAAUACUUCUUUCUUCUAUUAUGCCACCACGUAUUGCUGUUCAUUGUUUAUUUGAUAUUUUUAAAAAAUGAAAGACUAUAAGCACUAGUAGCUGACAAUGUAUUUCAGAUAAAUUGCGCAAUUUUCGGAAUCUAGAGCCCAUACUCAGACCCGGCGUUGUCCCUUUCUUUCUCUGUGAUUACUACUUUCCGUUCGAGCUUGCCAACUUUCUUAAAUUUCACAUUGUUUUCCUUGUAACAUAACAUGCCCUUUAUAAUUGUGGUUCUUAGCAGGAAAACCCCCUGAUUGCGGUGGAAGAGUAAACAACAUAGAUAACUUCUGACUGAUCGAAAAUGAAUUGCUCCUGUGCUUGAGGCAGGCAGGAUGUUCUAAUGUAUGUUGACUUGAUUUCAGCUACAUGUAUUUCUUUUGUGAUUCAUUACUUUUAUUUAGUAUGCGAGAUAAUUGAAAAUUGUUUCCUUCAGUAGCGAUUCCCAAUUGUUAUACGAACAUUUAUAGUAGACCAUAUUUCGGGUCAUCUUAUGACAUGAAGAAUAGGAGAAAUUAGCAGUUAAUCUGCUUAAAUGUUGCUGUCAAAGAACCGUAACAUGUCUGUACUUCCAGUGAGAAAAGGCUACAGUAUGUUACAGUGAGACUCCAUUUGUUACUAGUGGGUAACAAUCAAUUUUUUUUAUUAAUUUAACCCGAAAAUCUUACUAGCCACUCUCAAUUAAAUGAACAAUAUGCGAGCGUGAACUAUAUGCCACUUGGAUCUGCCAAUUGACCAAGUUAAAUCAGAAAAAUAAUUCUCUUUUCAGCAUGUUCAUAUAGGUUGACGACUAUUCUCUUGUUAUCAAGCUUUGGACAGAUGAGGUUACCUAUUUACAUGUGUCCACCCGAAGGAGUGGCACUCCCAAACGGUCUAACGCCAAAGAAACGAAAUCAGGGUUUUGUUGCACAGACAUUGAGCAACAAAUGUAUCCACUGGAUACUAAUUAGUAACUUCUGUACUCGGGGAUCGAAUCGACUGAGGCCAGUGAUGGAAUCGGAUCAGGCCUGUGGUUGUAUGGACUGAGACCAAUGCCAAAUGGACUCAUAACCGAGGACGAAUCGACUAAGAAUGGUGGUCAAAUCGACCGGUGACUGCUGUAGUGCCCACUGUGCACUUUCCGCAUGUAAGCAAAGAGACAACAAGAGACUGAAUGCCGAUGAAGUCAGGCCUGGCGAGUCAGGGAGGGCUGGUGUACCCGGGAGGACGCCCGGUAAUUCUUCUUUUUUCGUUUUCUUUAAAACAAAUGGCUGCUAAAUGAAUACGAAAGCAUUACAUAUAGAAAAAUCGAGUUUCAAGUCUGCAAUGUACUAUUUCCAGGGUUGAUGGAGUAGCGAUAUGGACUGGUGUGGUAGUGAGGCUGAGAGAGAGUUGUUGUCAGCGCGAUCAUGUUCACAUCACUGUGGACGUCGCUUGGUCCAGGACAACGAUUAGUUGAACCAUUUAGAAGUCUGUUCGUGCAUCGAGACAUAGAGGUAGUCAAGCCUGAAGAGAGGAAGGAGCAGGGAGGGAUGGUGUACCCGGGUCCGCGGCUGUGUAGUAGGCCCAACUUUGCUCAGUAAUUGGUUUGGGGGAUUUUUGUUUGUGACAA